This 1462-nucleotide ribosomal RNA is filed under the name uncultured Bordetella sp. RNAcentral's name for it is "partial 16S-23S ribosomal RNA intergenic spacer". It matches the Rfam family "Bacterial small subunit ribosomal RNA". Lineage: Bacteria; Pseudomonadati; Pseudomonadota; Betaproteobacteria; Burkholderiales; Alcaligenaceae. The record is from RNAcentral.
AGUUCGAUUACGGCCUGAUUGAACGCUGGCGGGAUGUUUUUACAUGUAAGUCGACUGGCACGGACUUGGUCUGGUGGCGAGUGGUACGAACUGGUAUAACAACGAACGCCUAGCGGGGAGAAUUACGCGAAAGGUAGCUAAUACCGCAUACGGCCUUCGGGGGAAAGCGGGGACCUUCGGGCCUCGCACUAUUAGAGCGGCCGAUAUCGGAUUAGCUAGUUGGUGGGGUAACGGCUCACCAAGAAGACGAUCCGCAGCUGGUCAAGAGGAGGACGACCGCCACACUGGGACUGAGACAUGGGCCCAGACUCCAAGCGGAGGCAGCAGCGGGGAAUUUUGGACAAUGGGAAACCCUGAUCCAGCCAUCUCGCGUGUGCGAUGAAGGCCUUCGUCAAAGCACUUUUGGCAGGAAAGAAACGGCACGGGAUAAUACCCUGGGCAACUGACGGUACCUGCAGAAUAAGCACCGGCUGAAUCACGUGCCAGCAGCCGCGGUAAUACGUAGGGUGCAAGCGUUAAUCGGAAUUACUGGGUAAAGCGUGCGCAGGCGGUUCGAAAAAAGAAAGAUGUGAAAUCCCAGAGCUUAACUUUGGAACUGCAUUUUUAACUACCGAGCUAGAGUGUGGUCAGAGGGAGGUGGAAUUCCGCGUAGCAGUGAAAUGCGUAGAUAUGCGGAGGAACACCGAUGGCGAAGGCAGCCUCCCGGGAUAACACCGACGCUCAUGCACGAAAGCGUGGGGACAAAACAGGAGAUUAGAUACCCUGGUAGUCCACGCCCCAAACGAUGUCAACUAGCUGUUGGGGCCUUCGGGCCUCUUGCGGGCGCAGCUGAAUUUGCGUGAAGCGAUCCGCCUGGGGAGUACGGUCGCAAGAUUAAAACUCAAAGGAAUUGACGGGGACCCGCAAUGCUGGUGAGAUGAUGACGAAUUGAUGCAAAUCGCGAAAACUACCUACCUCGAUGUCUGAAUCCCGAAGAGAUUUUGGGGAGUGCUCGCAGAGAACCGAACACAGGUGCUGCAUGGCUGUCGUCGAAGCCCGUGUCGAGAUGUUGGGCGUAAGUCCCAAUUACGCAACUCCUUUGUCAUUAGCUGCUACGAAAGGACACUCAAUGAGAUCGCUGGUGACAAACUGGAGGAAGGUGGGGAUGACGUCAUGUCCUCAUACUCUCAGCGUAGGGCUUCACACGUCAUACAGCGGUCGGGACAGAGGUCGCCAACCCGCGAGGGGGAGCUAAUCCCAGAAACCCGAUCGUAGUCCGGAUCGUAGUCGCAACUCGACUGCGUGAAGUCGGAAUCGCUAGUAAUCGCGGAUCAGCAUGUCGCGGUGAAUACGUUCCCUGGCCCGGUACACACCGCCCGUCACACCAUGGAGUGGGUUUUACCAGAAGUAGUUAGGCCUAACCGUAAGGGAGGGCGAUUACCACGGUAGGAUUCAUGACUGGGGUGAAGUCGUAACAAGGUAA